AACGCACAUUGCGCCCACUGGCAUUCCGGGGGGCAUGCCUGUCCGAGCGUCAUGACUGCCCUCAAGCACGGCUUGUGUGUUGGGCCGCCGUCCCCCCCCCUGACCGGGGGGACGGGCCCGAAAGGCAGCGGCGGUACCGCGUCCGGUUCUCGAGCGUAUGGGGCUUCGUCACCCGCUCCGUGGGACCGGCCGGCGUCCGGCCGACGUUCUUCCAACCCCCCCCAAGGUUGACCUCGGAUCAGGUAGGGAUACCCGCUGAACUUAA
This 265-nucleotide unclassified non-coding RNA is filed under the name uncultured fungus. RNAcentral's name for it is "partial contains 5.8S ribosomal RNA, internal transcribed spacer 2, and large subunit ribosomal RNA". The record is from RNAcentral. Lineage: Eukaryota; Fungi.